GCCGAAGUAGCACAACUGGUAGUGCAGCUGAAUCGUAAUCAGAAGGUUGGGGGUUCAAGUCCCUUCUUUGGCACCA
Molecule: transfer RNA, 76 nt
Filed under: Mycoplasma sp. CAG:956
Lineage: Bacteria; Bacillati; Mycoplasmatota; Mollicutes; Mycoplasmatales; Mycoplasmataceae
Also listed under: 1 other name
Description: transfer RNA-Thr(CGT)
Rfam family: tRNA
About the family: Transfer RNA (tRNA) molecules are approximately 80 nucleotides in length. Their secondary structure includes four short double-helical elements and three loops (D, anti-codon, and T loops). Further hydrogen bonds mediate the characteristic L-shaped molecular structure. tRNAs have two regions of fundamental functional importance: the anti-codon, which is responsible for specific mRNA codon recognition, and the 3' end, to which the tRNAs corresponding amino acid is attached (by aminoacyl-tRNA synthetases). tRNAs cope with the degeneracy of the genetic code in two manners: having more than one tRNA (with a specific anti-codon) for a particular amino acid; and 'wobble' base-pairing, i.e. permitting non-standard base-pairing at the 3rd anti-codon position.
Source: RNAcentral